CCCUAUGGGGUGCAGCAGGCGAGAAAACUUUGCAAUGUGCGAAAGCACGACAAGGUUAAUCCGAGUGGUUUCUGCUAAAGGAACCUUUUGUUAGUCAUAGAACCACUAAUGAAUAAGGGGUGGGCAAGUUCUGGUGUCAGCCGCCGCGGUAAAACCAGCACCUCAAGUGGUCAGGAUGAUUAUUGGGCCUAAAGCAUCCGUAGCCGGCUCUGUUAGUUUUCGGUUAAAUCUGUACGCUCAACGUACAGGCUGCCGGAAAUACUGCAGAGCUAGGGAGUGGGAGAGGUAGACGGUACUCGGUAGGAAGGGGUAAAAUCCUUUGAUCUAUUGAUGACCACCUGUGGCGAAGGCGGUCUACCAGAACACGUCCGACGGUGAGGGAUGAAAGCUGGGGGAGCAAACCGGAUUAGAUACCCGGGUAGUCCCAGCUGUAAACUAUGCAAACUCAGUGAUGCAUUGGCUUGUGGCCAAUGCAGUGCUGCAGGGAAGCCGUUAAGUUUGCCGCCUGGGAAGUACGUACGCAAGUAUGAAACUUAAAGGAAUUGGCGGGGGAGCACCAUAAGGGGUGAAGCCUGCGGUUCAAUUGGAGUCAACGCCAGAAAUCUUACCCGGAGAGACAGCAGAAUGAAAGUCAAGCUGAAGACUUUACCAGACAGCUGAGAGGUGGUGCAUGGCCAGGCG
This 681-nucleotide ribosomal RNA is filed under the name uncultured marine group I thaumarchaeote. Its description in RNAcentral is "bacterial SSU rRNA". It matches the Rfam family "Archaeal small subunit ribosomal RNA", at positions 321 to 1003 of the family's 1478-position model. Lineage: Archaea; Thermoproteati; Nitrososphaerota. The record is from RNAcentral.